Molecule: ribosomal RNA, 460 nt
Filed under: uncultured bacterium
Lineage: Bacteria
Description: partial 16S ribosomal RNA
Rfam family: Bacterial small subunit ribosomal RNA
Source: RNAcentral
CCUACGGGAGGCAGCAGUGAGGAAUAUUGGUCAAUGGGCGCGAGCCUGAACCAGCCAAGUAGCGUGAAGGAUGACUGCCCUACGGGUUGUAAACUUCUUUUAUAAAGGAAUAAAGUGAGGCACGUGUGUCUUUGUGUAUGUACUUUAUGAAUAAGGAUCGGCUAACUCCGUGCCAGCAGCCGCGGUAAUACGGAGGAUCCGAGCGUUAUCCGGAUUUAUUGGGUUUAAAGGGAGCGUAGGUGGUCUGUUAAGUCAGUUGUGAAAGUUCGCGGCUCAACCGUAAAAUUGCAAUUGAUACUGGCAGCCUAGAGUACAGUUGAGGUAGGCGGAAUUCGUGGUGUAGCGGUGAAAUGCUUAGAGAUCACAAAGAACUCCGAUUGCGAAGGCAGCCUACUAAGCUACUGCUGACAUUGAUGCUCGAAAGUGUGGGUAUCAAACAGGAUUAGAUACCCUAGUAGUC